AACGAACGCUGGCGGCAUGCCUAACACAUGCAAGUCGAACGAGACCUCCGUGCCUAGUGGCGCUCGGGUGCGUAACGCGGGGGAAGCUGCACUUAGGUACCGAAUACUUCCCUGUAGGGGGUGCUAAUGCAGGAUAAUUUAUUCGGACAAAAGAUUUAUCGCCUGUGGGUGGGCCCGAGUUGGUUUAGCGAGUUGGUAGGGUAAAAGCCGACCAAGGCGUCGAUCCUUAGCUGGUCUGAGAGGAGGAUCAGCCACACUGGGACAGGGACACGGCCCAGACUCCUGCGAGAGGGAGCAAGGGUGAAAAAUGGACAAGGGGCGAGAGCCUGAGCCGGCAAGGCCGCGUGGGUGAUGUAGGCGUUAGGAAUGUAAAGCGCUUUUACCCGGGAUGAUAAUACGGUAACCGGGAGAAAAGGCCCGGGCAAAUUCCUG
RNAcentral lists this ribosomal RNA (432 nucleotides) under uncultured bacterium. Its description in RNAcentral is "partial 16S ribosomal RNA". It matches the Rfam family "Bacterial small subunit ribosomal RNA", at positions 29 to 506 of the family's 1533-position model. The record is from RNAcentral.